RNAcentral lists this ribosomal RNA (895 nucleotides) under Apheloria clade A PEM-2009. RNAcentral describes it as "partial large subunit ribosomal RNA". The record is from RNAcentral. Lineage: Eukaryota; Metazoa; Arthropoda; Diplopoda; Polydesmida; Xystodesmidae.
AGUACCUUUUGUAUUAGGGUUGAUUUAUGUGGUUUUGCUUUUGUUAUUUCUCGAUGAGUAUCGGGCUAUUUUUCUUUGGUUUAUUCUCGUUGUAUAGAGUUGAAUAGAGGAUCAUAGGUAUGAAAUAUUAUUCAAGUUGCUUUUUAUCUGGUUCUUCAAGAAAUUUAAUAGUCGGUAAUAUUAUUAGGACGAUAGACAGGGAUUAGCUUGUUUAUUUUUUAUAUUUGAUCUAGGUUGAAGUUUGUUUGUUAAGUUGAUAGUGCUUAUUUUAAUGGAGUUAUUAUUGAGCAGGUUGAUUUUAUUAUUUUUUGUUUUUAUUUUUGUAUUGAGGUUAUUUUAUUAAUUUUUAGUGUUUUGUAACAAUGAUUGUAUUAGUAAUAAUUUUUUUUAUUUUUUUAGCUUUUCUGGUUUUGUUGUUAGUUUAGUGGUAUUUUAAAUUAGAAUUGAUGAAUUAGGCAAUAAGAACUUCUGACUGUUUAGCAAAGACAUUGUUUUUUGUUGUGGUAAAAAAUAAGUUCUGUCCACUGCUAUUAGGUGAAGGGCUGCAGUAUUUUGACUGUAUGAAGGUAGCAUAAUCAUUAGCUUUUUAAUUAGAAGCUGGUAUGAAGGUGAAACAGGGGUUUGCUGUGUUUUUUCUAUUUAUUGAAUUUUAUUUUCAUGUGAAAAAUCAUGAUUGAUUUAAUGGGACAAGAAGACCCUAAUAAGUUUUAUUUUUUUUCUUAAUGCGUGUAUAGUUUUUGAUUUAUGCAAUUUAUUUGGGGGAGUUUGGCUGGGGCGGCAGUUUAUUUGACAUAGAUUAAUUUUUAACUUUUUAUGGCGAUUAUUUGGACCUAGUUUGUUUAGAUUAGAGUUAAAUUACUGUAGGGAUAACAGCGUGAUUUUUUUUGAGAGUUCU